Long non-coding RNA from Lutra lutra (Eurasian river otter), 641 nucleotides. RefSeq lists it as uncharacterized. The record is from RefSeq and is a predicted model, not a curated record. The transcript has 4 exons. Lineage: Eukaryota; Metazoa; Chordata; Mammalia; Carnivora; Mustelidae.
UGAUAGAGGGGACUUCUUUCCUAGAUGCAACUAGCUUUCAGCAAAUACAUACAGACUGUCUUCAUCUGUUCUAAACAGAAAGAAAACCAAUAUAUUUCAUGCCUCUUUUCUCAGGGAGACACCUUGAAAUACCAAGGGAGAUGCUGUAGGAAGAUCACAUCUUUCUGAAGAAGAUGCCAAGAACAUAUUAGCUGCUAGUUUGAGAACCUUCAUCUACACUUCACAGCUACUUUUAGAAAAACAGUUGUAGCAUUUAUCAAACACCACCGAGAAAACAGUAUACAUGUUGGAACUCAGAAUUCAGCAGCUACAGAAAUCUAGCAGGAGAGUAAGUAAAAAAGAAACGUGGUCCCAUGCAUUUCUACCAUUUUGAAAAGCACAGGAACUGCAAUAUAAAAUCAGCAUAGUUUUCUAACAUAGAAUGAGCUGUUUAAGGUUGACAAAGUUCAUAAAAGGGUGACCAUAUGCAGCCUCCAGCUUAGAGUUUCUGAUCUACUUAAUGCAUCUGAGUGGAACACAGCUGUCUGUGCAGACUCAUCAAAGCUCGACAUAAAACCACUCACCACUGGUGAUGGGGAAAGUGCAAUGUUGCCUAUGGAUGCCUUCAGCUCAUCCACGGUUGCAGUAUUCUUAAGAAUGUC